GAUAAAACAAAAUAGUGGUUAUGAAUCACGAGAAAUGUCGUAAUGUUCGCUCUACUCUUUAUUUCGCGACCAUAAAGCGAAGCGUAUGUAUAUGUACACACGCAUUUCUCGACACUUAACUGAUGUAUAAUCAAGAGGUGCGAGUGAGGUACGGACGGUGGCCUGUCUCUCGAUCGGGCGAGGGAUACUUCGGCGGAGGGGGAGACGCGGACAAACUGUCGGCACAUUGUGCAACGUUACGAACGCCAACCCACGGGGACGCUGGCCGUCGAAGGUAAUCCAGGGGGAUGCGUGCCCGAGAAUUCUGAUCAGCUCUUAUAGAUCCCGCCAAUGUGUUAUUACUGUUAACACCUCUACUUCGUGUAAUGCCGCGUACAUCAUUGCUCGGACGACAACAGCGCCCACGCGAUCGCAGAUGUCAUACACGUGCCAGCGGACUGUCCGCGUUGUGUUUUCAACAAGGAAAUAAUACUUGCAAGAUAUCACGCGAUGAACGACAGGAACUGCAUACUCUCGAGAAUCGCAUUCUUGGCGCGGCGUGCGACAUCAAAAUUUACUCUUCACGGCAAUACAAGAAUGGAAUUGUAAAUAAUCGUGAACCGUCACGUUUCAUGUUCUUUAAUACGCUGUUAUUUCGUUAAAAUUGCGCUUCGACAGUAUCGAGUCCGAUAAAUAAUAAAUCCGCCGUCGUUGCAUCAA
Molecule: RNA transcript, 699 nt
Organism: Wasmannia auropunctata (little fire ant)
Lineage: Eukaryota; Metazoa; Arthropoda; Insecta; Hymenoptera; Formicidae
Exons: 3
Source: RefSeq, a predicted model, not a curated record